Molecule: transfer RNA, 75 nt
Filed under: Oscillospiraceae bacterium
Lineage: Bacteria; Bacillati; Bacillota; Clostridia; Eubacteriales; Oscillospiraceae
Description: tRNA-Gln
Rfam family: tRNA
About the family: Transfer RNA (tRNA) molecules are approximately 80 nucleotides in length. Their secondary structure includes four short double-helical elements and three loops (D, anti-codon, and T loops). Further hydrogen bonds mediate the characteristic L-shaped molecular structure. tRNAs have two regions of fundamental functional importance: the anti-codon, which is responsible for specific mRNA codon recognition, and the 3' end, to which the tRNAs corresponding amino acid is attached (by aminoacyl-tRNA synthetases). tRNAs cope with the degeneracy of the genetic code in two manners: having more than one tRNA (with a specific anti-codon) for a particular amino acid; and 'wobble' base-pairing, i.e. permitting non-standard base-pairing at the 3rd anti-codon position.
Source: RNAcentral
UGGGAUGUAGCCAAGUGGUAAGGCAACGGACUUUGACUCCGUCAUUCGUUGGUUCGAAUCCAGCCAUCCCAGCCA